AAAGUGCGAUAACUAGUGUGAAUUGCAUAUUCAGUGAAUCAUCGAGUCUUUGAACGCAUCUUGCGCUCAAUGGUAUUCCAUUGAGCACGCCUGUUUCAGUAUCAACAACAACCCACAUCCACAAUUUUGUUGUGAAUGGAAGUGAGAGUAUCGACGUUAAAAUUGAACUCUUUAAAACUAUUAGGCCUGAACUAUUGUUCUAUUAGCCUGAACAUUUUUUUAAUAUAAAGGAAUGCUCUAGUUAAAAGACUAUCUUGGGGGCCUCCCAAAUAAAUCAUUUUUUUAAAACUUGAUCUGAAAUCAGGUGGGAUUACCCGCUGAACUUAAGC
Molecule: unclassified non-coding RNA, 329 nt
Filed under: plant metagenome
Description: partial contains 5.8S ribosomal RNA, internal transcribed spacer 2, and large subunit ribosomal RNA
Rfam family: 5.8S ribosomal RNA (bases 1-104)
Source: RNAcentral